AAUUAUUAAUCCUUUAUAAUUUUACUAUCAAAUCCACCUUCAUUAAACAUUUCAAAUUUAAAUCCAUUUAAAUAACUUUAUUGUAACCCAUUUCUACUUAAAUAUGUAGCUACACCUUGAUASUGAUAUAUUUUCUUUUUAAAAAUUCUGAAAAUUAACAUUCUUAUAAAAUAUU
Molecule: ribosomal RNA, 175 nt
Filed under: Cochliomyia hominivorax (primary screw-worm)
Lineage: Eukaryota; Metazoa; Arthropoda; Insecta; Diptera; Calliphoridae
Description: partial 12S ribosomal RNA
Source: RNAcentral